CACCAGACUCCUACGGGAGGCAGCAGUGAGGAAUAUUGGUCAAUGGGCGAGAGCCUGAACCAGCCAAGUCGCGUGAGGGAGUACUGCCCUAUGGGUUGUAAACCUCUUUUGUCGGGGAGCAAAAGCCGGACGUGUCCGGCUGUGAGAGUACCCGAAGAAAAAGCAUCGGCUAACUACGUGCCAGCAGCCGCGGUAAUACGUAGGUGGCAAGCGUUGUCCGGAAUUACUGGGUGUAAAGGGAGCGUAGGCGGUUAUGCAAGUUGAAUGUGAAAUCUAUCGGCUCAACUGAUAGGCUGCGUUCAAAACUGUAUAUCUUGAGUGAAGUAGAGGCAGGCGGAAUUCCUAGUGUAGCGGUGAAAUGCGUAAAUAUUAGGAGGAACACCAGUGGCGAAGGCGGCCUGCUGGGCUUUAACUGACGCUGAGGCUCGAAAGCGUGGGUAGCAAGCAGGAUUAGAUACCCUCGUAA
This 466-nucleotide ribosomal RNA is filed under the name uncultured bacterium. RNAcentral describes it as "partial 16S ribosomal RNA". It matches the Rfam family "Bacterial small subunit ribosomal RNA", at positions 329 to 793 of the family's 1533-position model. The record is from RNAcentral.